AGUGAACGCUGGCGGUAGGCCUAACACAUGCAAGUCGAACGGCAGCACAGUAAGAGCUUGCUCUUACGGGUGGCGAGUGGCGGACGGGUGAGGAAUACAUCGGAAUCUACUUUUUCGUGGGGGAUAACGUAGGGAAACUUACGCUAAUACCGCAUACGACCUACGGGUGAAAGCAGGGGAUCUUCGGACCUUGCGCGAUUGAAUGAGCCGAUGUCGGAUUAGCUAGUUGGCGGGGUAAAGGCCCACCAAGGCGACGAUCCGUAGCUGGUCUGAGAGGAUGAUCAGCCACACUGGAACUGAGACACGGUCAAGACUCCUACGGGAGGCAGCAGUGGGGAAUAUUAGACAAUGGGCGCAAGCCUGAUCCAGCCAUACCGCGUGGGUGAAGAAGGCCUUCGGGUUGUAAAGCCCUUUUGUUGGGAAAGAAAAGCAGCAGGUUAAUACCCCGCUGUUCUGACGGUACCCAAAGAAUAAGCACCGGCUAACUUCGUG
This 492-nucleotide ribosomal RNA is filed under the name uncultured bacterium. RNAcentral describes it as "partial 16S ribosomal RNA". It matches the Rfam family "Bacterial small subunit ribosomal RNA", at positions 29 to 507 of the family's 1533-position model. The record is from RNAcentral.